UUCAAGGAAAACAACAAAUGUGGCCUUUGUAGACAGGUGGUCUUUGUAGACAGGUGGUCACUAAAGCAGGUUUGACUGUACAAGGAAAAGGUGCUACAGUGUUGUAUACGAAAAAAAUGUAGGGAUCGGAAUUGAAUA
This is a long non-coding RNA of Strongylocentrotus purpuratus (purple sea urchin), 138 nucleotides long. RefSeq lists it as uncharacterized. The record is from RefSeq and is a predicted model, not a curated record. NCBI's taxonomy places the organism in Eukaryota, Metazoa, Echinodermata, Echinoidea, Camarodonta, Strongylocentrotidae. The transcript is spliced from 2 exons.